RNAcentral lists this ribosomal RNA (465 nucleotides) under uncultured bacterium. RNAcentral's name for it is "partial 16S ribosomal RNA". It matches the Rfam family "Bacterial small subunit ribosomal RNA", at positions 34 to 504 of the family's 1533-position model. The record is from RNAcentral.
UCCGCCCGCUGGCGGCGUGCUUAACACAUGCAAGUCGAACGGAAAGGCCCUGCUUUUGUGGGGUGCUCGAGUGGCGAACGGGUGAGUAACACGUGAGUAACCUGCCCUUGACUUUGGGAUAACUUCAGGAAACUGGGGCUAAUACCGGAUAGGAGCUCCUGCUGCAUGGUGGGGGUUGGAAAGUUUCGGCGGUUGGGGAUGGACUCGCGGCUUAUCAGCUUGUUGGUGGGGUAGUGGCUUACCAAGGCUUUGACGGGUAGCCGGCCUGAGAGGGUGACCGGCCACAUUGGGACUGAGAUACGGCCCAGACUCCUACGGGAGGCAGCAGUGGGGAAUAUUGCACAAUGGGCGGAAGCCUGAUGCAGCAACGCCGCGUGCGGGAUGACGGCCUUCGGGUUGUAAACCGCUUUCGCCUGUGACGAAGCGUGAGGGACGGUAAUGGGUAAAGAAGCACCGGCGAACUAC